RNAcentral lists this ribosomal RNA (453 nucleotides) under uncultured bacterium. RNAcentral describes it as "bacterial SSU rRNA". It matches the Rfam family "Bacterial small subunit ribosomal RNA", at positions 32 to 465 of the family's 1533-position model. The record is from RNAcentral.
AAUCAACGCUGGCGGCGUGCCUCAGACAUGCAAGUCGAACGCGAAAGUCCCCUUCGGGGGACAAGUAGAGUGGCGCACGGGUGAGUAACACGUAGGUAAUCUACCUUUGGAUGGGGAAUAACAACCGGAAACGGUUGCUAAUACCGCAUAAUGCAGCGGCACCUAAUGGUGACAGUUGUUAAAGCGGGGGAUCGAAAGACCUCGCGUCUGAAGAGGAGCCUGCGGCGGAUUAGCUAGNGGUAAGGUAAUGGCUUACCAAGGCUACGAUCCGUAACCGGCCUGAGAGGGCGGUCGGUCACACUGACACUGACAUACGGGUCAGACUCCUACGGGAGGCAGCAGUCGGGAAUUUUGGGCAAUGGGCGAAAGCCUGACCCAGCAACGCCGCGUGAAGGAUGAAAUCCCUCGGGAUGUAAACUUCGCAAGAACGGGAAGAAUAAGCGAGAGUUAAUA